Non-coding RNA from Theobroma cacao (cacao), 1433 nucleotides. The record is from RefSeq and is a predicted model, not a curated record. Lineage: Eukaryota; Viridiplantae; Streptophyta; Magnoliopsida; Malvales; Malvaceae.
UCUACUGAGUACUAACUCUUACAUUCUGUUUCAGCUGAGUACGCUGGGCUACCAUUAACUCCAGCAUAUAUGCAACCUGGUAAACAUAUAUUCAUACCUGGCAUCUGGAGGAGCAGAUGCUCUUGUUAAAACUCACCAAGGAUAUUUGUACGUGAUGUUUACUCAGCUUCACCAAUUGUUUAUAACUAGCUUUGAUUUGUUAAGAUUUAAAUUAGUUCAAGUUAACUAACUGUUACACUCGAGUAUUUGAUUCAUUAAUUGGUAUAUGAUAUUCCUGCCUAAAGAAUAUGAUACAAAUUCCCUCUCUCCCAAUUUUUUUUAUAAAAAAUUUAACUGUGAUCUAAUUCCUCUUGCGGAACUUUUUCUUUUUCUUUAUUUUAGCAUGAUGUUUAGUUCUUCAAUUCACAUUUGUUUCUUUCUAGGUGAUACGAAAGCCCACAAAUUGUUGUCCAGAGCUGUCUACUUGCUUAGCGUAGGAACGAAUAAUGACCUGUUUCCUUUUCUCUGAAACUAAAGCGUGCUUCAAUCAUAUUCGCAAGGAGAACUAGUUGCAAUGGUCAUAGGAAACAUGACUGUUGCAAUCAUAGUACACUCAAAUACUAAAAUCUUAAUUCUACCAUUAUUUUUUACCUCCCUCUUUUUUGUUGGUUGCUGGCAAUAUACUGUUAAAAUGGCUUAGGAAACAAGAAAGGAGGAAGGAAGUUUGGUUUUGUGAAUUUGAUUCCACUAGGUAGCAGAGAUUCUUUCCAUGGAUGAAGGAACCAAGCGAGCACAACUGCAUAAUAAAGCACUUCCCAGUGCCUGCCACCAGAAUCUAAAAACCAAUCGGGAAAAUUCGAAUAUUGAUAUCACAACUUGUUCGAAAACGGAGGGAUUGACCUUCAAAAUAUGGUUUUAAGGAAGGGAAGGACUGCGUCUUGUGCCAGUGGUGCGACUAUAGUGCGUGACAGUUCAGGUGCAGGACAGAAAACCAUGUCGCUUUGUUCAUCUUUGGCGACUCACUUUUUGAUGCUGGAAACAACAACUAUAUCAACACCACUGUUAAUUAUCAGGCAAACUUUUGGCCGUAUGGUGAAACCUUCUUCAAGUACCCAACUGGCCGAUUUUCUGAUGGGCGUCUCCUUCCAGAUUUCAUUGCUGAGUAUGCAGGGUUACCUUUAAUUCCACCAUACUUCCAACCUGUCAACAACAAAUUUGUGGAUGGAGUGAACUUCGCUUCUGCAGGAGCUGGUGCUCUCGUUGAAACGCAUCAAGGAUUUGUAUGUGAUGUUUGUUCAUUAGCUUGUUUGUUUGUGAUUGAAGUCACUUCAGGCAUAAACACAUCCACCCUCAUACAUAGUGAUUUUAGUUAUAUUCUAGCAUUGACAAUGAAAAGUGUAUUGCUAUGGCUUUUUCUCUUUUAUUUCUAACCACGGUGUACGUUUUCAUUUUCU